RNAcentral lists this long non-coding RNA (3693 nucleotides) under Homo sapiens (human). RNAcentral's name for it is "HSALNT0116525". The record is from RNAcentral. Lineage: Eukaryota; Metazoa; Chordata; Mammalia; Primates; Hominidae.
GCGGGCGGACAGAGCAACCGCUGCGUCUCUGCCCUGCCUUGUCACAUCUGGGUCCGGUGUUUCGGAUUCUAAAUCCUGAGUCCUGCAGCUGCUCCAGCUGUGCGCUGCUGGGCGAGCCACGUCGGCCUGCCCGUUGCCCGAGCCAGGGAAUCCUCCUGGUAGCGGGCCAGCAGCUCCGACCCAGCUGUGCUCAGUCAGAGUUCCCGGGAGAGAGUUCCAACUCGGACCUUUGGUUGGAGUUUAAAUCAACUCGCAGUGUUUCCCAUAAACUAGGGUUUGAAAUACGGUUCCUCCCCAGGACUCCCUUUCGCAUACUCACUUUAAAACGAACUUCGUGUGCACAAGCCCAGUUUGCCUUGGUUGGGGUUAGAGAACGGAAAGGGCAAACUGUGGCCAAAAAUGAGCAAGACUGUGCGAUCAUUGCCCCAAACCCUGAGACCGCCUUGCCAUAUGCGGCUCUCUUGGACACCCCCACCCCCUUCCGUAGCCAUGAAUCCAGGCAGUUGCCACUGAAGGGAAAUGAGCCGCCCAAUGGGCGCUCAGAACUAGGAGCCGCCAGAAGUUUGGGGAAGUUGGAGCGCAAGAGCGCACACAGAUGCACAGGUGUCCGCGUUCGGGCAGGCACGCGCGGCGGGGCCACCAUGGCGCGCUGGGUCCGAGGAGGGGCGGUGGCUGUGCUGUUCCACGGUGGCACGGGCUGUCCGGACUGCCUGGACGAGGUCACCUUCCCCGGAGUGGAGCACACGCGCCAAAGCUCAGCUUUCACGAAGGGCAAAACGGUCACCCAAGCGCCAGGCGUGCGCUACAGUGCAGCAACUGGGUUGACCCAGGGCCCUGGGCUCCCGGUGUGCCCCGGGUCCCGGGGCCAUUUCUCGCCCUCCACGUUUUCUUCUUUCUAUCCAGUUUCACAUGUUUAUUUUGAAGCGUGCUCCAGAUUCCUCACUAGUCGAUGCUUUCCCCGACUCCCAUCCAAACUCCCCCCAAUGGAAAAUAACACUUUUGUAUUUGCACCAAGCUGAGCAGUUGGGAUGCAAAGGACAUGCUGGGGCUCCCCUCCCCCAGUAAAGUCCACAGACGUCUCCGCGAUUGCCGGGCAGAUUCUGAGUGUCGCGUGUAACGGGCAUCAGACUUGGCACUCACUAGGUCAGAAUCCCUACAUUUGUGGAAGAAGAAAAUGAUUCCUGUGACUCUUACCUUAGGGGCGCUGCCCUUGUUUCUGAAUUUUUUCGGCAAAGAAAAAAACUGCAAUGGUUGAGCCAGGCUGCCGGCAGCCUCCCGGCUUGACGCUUCUCCAGCCGUGCAGAGUCCACUCCGGUUACUUUGCUGCGAGUCCGGAGUUUGUGCUUUCGCGACUGGACCAGGCAGCAAGGGUCUGAGGGCUGCCCACACAUUUAGGGAAGUCGAGUUUCUCCUCAAGUGUUUAUUGUUUAUUCCUUUACACGCAAAAUUGUUUCUCCUUGUCAUUUAAGUUUCUUUAUUUGCAUUUUGGAGUUACUAAAUCUAUUUUUCAGUUCCAAGAAAAUAUACAUUUAACUUGCCCAUAAGCCCCCUUGCGGGCGCAGGAGACAGGGUGGGAAACCCCAAAUAUUUGUCCUGGGAGCCCUUAUUAAAUCAGGAGGCAAACUUUAAAAUUUUCAUUAACCCUUUCCCAGAAUCAACCUCCUGUUUACCUUUCGUCCUUUUCUCCAAGUGCUUGCUGGAAGGGACGUUUUCCUGGACAAAUUAAAAAUCACAAGGCAUAACAACGGAAAAGAAAACAACUUGAGGAUGGAGUUUACUGAUUAGCUCUGAAAUUUUCAUACAUGAUCUCCCUCCUUCAUACUGGUGUCCACGUUUGUUACUAGAAAGAAAGAAAAUAAAAGAAAAAGAAAGGAAAGGAAGGAAGAAAGAAAAGAAAGAAAGAGAGAGAGAAAGAAAGAAAAGACAGAAAGAGAAAGGAAGGAAGGAAGGUUUUAAUGAGGAGACAAUGCUUUUUGUCCCUGAGCUUCUCUUGUUCAAGUGCAGAACAGAAAAAGGAGAGAGAAAGUUUGAUGCAGGGAUCAGGCCUCCUCAGCCGCUGAUGCCUCAUGAUAGAAGCACCGUGGCUUCUCAAGGACUGUAGGUUACAGAAGGCUCCCGUCUAGACUGAGUCAGGCCUGGUGGCUGGCACACACACAGUCUACCCAGUGUCUGCAAGAGCAGCCAAUUGGGAGACGUAAGUAGAACUUGGUAUAUUAAAUCUUUUGAAAUGAACCCUUAUGAGGAAAAUAACUCACAGAAGCCAAAAGAUGAGCGACCUUGUUUUUUCAGCUGUGUUUGUUCUCUAUAGGACUGAUUAGUGAGCCAGAGACACCCGGUGCUAACUCUCAGACUGGGAGUUAAAGGAAGGGGCAGUUCAGACGAGCAGCAUAUCUUCCAUAAUCCCGUGGCCAUAUUCAUUUUAUUUGGCUCAGAAAUUGGGGUUUAAUUACUUUAUGCUUACAUGCUGCACUAAUAUUGCCAUCAUCAACAAAGGAAAGGUCAACAAAGGAGGAUCUCCUCCCCCACUCCAGAGCUCCUUGGCACUGGCAUGAUUUUCCUGAUGGUGAAAGAUACAUGUAAAUAGUAAUUGAUAAGGGUUUUAUUGUUUCCAAGUACAGUCAAUGAGUACAGCCUGGGAGCUAACCCUUGCAAGUCUCCUGAAUUCAAAUCACUGUCUCCUCACUUGACUCCAGGUAUCCAGUUAGAUUAUUAUGACUUACUGGUGGCAUGAAAGCUUACUUUUCUCCUCCCUCCAACACUCCUAUCUGUAUAGAGAUUUCCACUGGAAAUUUCCAGAGAUCUCUACCCGGGAAUAUUGUGCUUGUCCUGCCCUAAACUUUCCUGAUUUGAAACAUCCAUAAUAAAUCUCAAUUUUACUUUCUACUUAUUAUAAGAAAUUCAUCUGCUGAGCCCAGAGAACCUCAGGCUGAAAGACACCACUAAUGUAACAAGGCAAAAUUCAAAUUUAAAAAAGAAUACACCAAGGCUAAGUGGCAUUAAAGUAUUUGUGGGUUUUGCUUUCCAUGUCAUACUGGUCAUUUUGUAAAGGACCCAAUUGGCCCCAGCCCAAGUAUGUGCACUAGUGGUGAACUGGCCAGAAGGGACACCUGGAAGGUUGCAUUUGCAAGAAGCUGCACCACCUGGCAGGGAGCAGAAGCAAUAAUCCAGCCACACACCAAUGGUGGACGGCUCCUGGGGAAUCAAAGAGAGAAAGCUUCCAGUGGACUCCACACUUCUCUCUGAGUCAUUGCCUUGUCCAUCCAGGUGCCCACAGCACACACCAACCCACUGCAAACAAGACCUUUUCUCCUGGGAGAAAGCCUCAACGUUUUCAAGCUUGAGUUUUCAGAGAAAGCAGAGACCCUGUCCACGGUGUGGCUGGGCCUCAUCCGAUCAGUGGACGACUUCAAGAGAAAAAGGCUGAGGUCCUCUAAGGAAGAAGAAAUCUGCUUCCCAACAGCCUUCAGGCUCAAGCUGCAACACCAGCUCUUCCCUGGGCCUCCAGCCUGCCCUGCCUGCCCUGCAGCUUUUCCACAUGCCAGCACAGUUGUGUGAGCCGGUUCCUUAAAAGCUGUCUCUCUAGAUACAUAUAGUCACAUACAGUGAGCCCUCCAUAUCCAUGGACUCCACAUCCCUGGAUUCAACCAGCCUUGUUGGAUUAAAAUAUUUAGAAAUAAAAUGUCUGCACUGAAC